This 420-nucleotide long non-coding RNA is filed under the name Coffea arabica (coffee). RNAcentral describes it as "long non-coding RNA (CARA_LNC000035)". The record is from RNAcentral. Lineage: Eukaryota; Viridiplantae; Streptophyta; Magnoliopsida; Gentianales; Rubiaceae.
AACCAAAAAGGGCUAACUUUGAAGGAAAUUUGAUGUCAAAUUUGUCCGAUAAUUGGAAUGAUCCAGAAAUUACCACAUAAACAAACCGAAACUAGUGCAAAAAUUGGUACCCAUCCCGUUCGAUCCUUCGAAACACCAGAUCCACCGCCAAAAACACAAUCAUGAUUAAAUCUCGAAAAUCACCAUAAAAAAAUUAGCGAUAAUAAGCUUCAAAUUAACCAAAUCAUCAAACCAUAGAAGCAACGAUCGAGCCAGCGAUGAUCAUCAAUUGAAGAUCCUAACCUUCAACUGAGGCAAAAAUCCACAGCAAACGAAUCUAAUUUGGAGAAAACCUAGCCCUAGAACCUAAACAAAACCUACGACGAAGAAGAGCAAACCAAUAUCUUACCACACAACUAGCAGGCGAAAACGGCAGGUGCC